Molecule: long non-coding RNA, 1211 nt
Organism: Lolium rigidum
Lineage: Eukaryota; Viridiplantae; Streptophyta; Magnoliopsida; Poales; Poaceae
Exons: 7
Source: RefSeq, a predicted model, not a curated record
GCCACAGCACAAGGAUCUACAGUUGCUGCACCUCUACCCUGACCAGGAAGGUGGUGCUAGAGCGCUGGUGGUUUUGCUGUGGCGCGUUUUGCCUGUCCGCUGCGGAGGCUGUUCAGGGCUUGCAGUUCUCAGGUUCUGACUGCUAUGUCCACCGUCUGAUGUGGGUUGUGCCAGGAGCACACUGGCCCACCAGGUCAUGUCAUCAAUUGGGGCAGAAGCAGCGUUGCAGCUUGCAGGCCUGUGGCGACCGCAGAAACACUCUUGCUGGUGUUGACGAUGGACAUCGACUUCUAGCUUGGACCUAGCUGGUGACCCAAGCAUGCUGAUGCUCCCUGUUUUCAUUGAGUUCAGACUGAUAUAUCCAUGCCUGCUGCAAGCUGUGCGUUCUCUGCCAGCAGAUAGGUCGCGUCAUUGAUAGGAGCAGCAGCGGCAUUCCAGAUGAGGGACUCAAAGUAACAAUACUUUGCCAUUGCUUCAACAUAGUACACUUGCAAUGUUACUAGUGGUCAGUUUGUGUGGCUGAUGAUAGCAUGACCCUUUCCAUCAGUUUUGUAGAGAAGUAGUAUCUUGUGCAACACGUGGGAGAGAGUUUCAUCGGGAGGCGCUGCACAGUUCGCUAUCCGUUGGCGACUACAUGGCAGCUCUUGCAGGCACCACCGACCAUCGACACCGUCACAACACAUGCCCUUCUGCUCGGUCCUCCCUGCCAUUCAUAGCCGGGAUGCACGCAAGAACCGAUGCCCGGCCUAACCGAUAAUGCAAGGAUGUUACUGCUGUAUAUACUCAUCGACGUGCUUCUGCCAUUGCUAGGACUUUGUGAAAAUGUACUCUGAGUACAUCUAUUUCCUAUUUAAGGAGGUUGAUGUUGAAGUGCCAGCUCACGAGGAGGAAUCAAGUGAAUAACAAGAUACAUACAACCACACAGACUAGACGAAGUAGAGACAGAAUAUGGUGUACAUAAAAAACCCAAGGCGUGCUGGUACUUUGUGAAGACCUUCGCAUGCUCUCAUACUUCCGUUUUGGUUAACUCCCGGGUUAGGACGAAGCCGUGUAGCUGUAGCUGGCCAGGAGAGAGCCAUGGCCGCUGGAUCCGGCAUGACCCGACAAUUCUAGCAUUCAGAAGGGAUCCAUGUGCGCCGAACCGGCGUAACUCUAGGUCCCCCUCGGUGCGGCAAAGAAGGAUGGCAAGGAGGAAAAACCACAAGCUGUCC